RNAcentral lists this ribosomal RNA (118 nucleotides) under Candidatus Pelagibacter sp. Lineage: Bacteria; Pseudomonadati; Pseudomonadota; Alphaproteobacteria; Candidatus Pelagibacterales; Candidatus Pelagibacteraceae. The record is from RNAcentral.
UCCGGCGAUUAUAGCAUAGGGGCAACACCCGUUCCCAUUUCGAACACGGCAGUUAAGCCCUAUCGCGCCGAUGGUACUNCACGGGAAACCAGUGCGGGAGAGUAGGUCGUUGCCGGGA